Molecule: long non-coding RNA, 256 nt
Filed under: Elaeis guineensis (African oil palm)
Lineage: Eukaryota; Viridiplantae; Streptophyta; Magnoliopsida; Arecales; Arecaceae
Description: long non-coding RNA (EGUI_LNC070429)
Source: RNAcentral
CAAUUACAAUGGAGGUCAGUGCAAGUUAGCAAGCAGGAAGAAAAUCAAGAAUAACUGAUCAAUUGUACUGUGCUAUACCUAGGCGAGGAACCAAACUAAGGCCGGCAUCAUAAAGAGACUAUUCGGUUAAGAGCUCUUUCUGCUUCGGGACCGACAUAUUUCUCAGUCGAUGAAAGUCCUCCUGGUUGUCAACCUCCACUCAGCUGUUAUCAUUAGGACCAGUUCGGGGGUUGCCCCAAGGAGAAGGAAAACCCCA